UACCUACGGGACGCAGCAGUGAGGAAUAUUGGUCAAUGGCCGCAGGGCUGAACCAGCCAAGUCGCGUGAGGGAUGACGGUCCUAUGGAUUGUAAACCUCUUUUGUCAGGGAGCAAAGGGCGCCACGUGUGGCGUUUCGCGAGUACCUGAAGAAAAAGCAUCGGCUAACUCCGUGCCAGCAGCCGCGGUAAUACGGAGGAUGCGAGCGUUAUCCGGGUUUAUUGGGUUUAAAGGGUGCGCAGGCGGACUGUCAAGUCAGCGGUAAAUGUUCGGGGCUCAACCCCGUCGUGCCGUUGAAACUGGCGG
Molecule: ribosomal RNA, 305 nt
Filed under: uncultured bacterium
Lineage: Bacteria
Description: bacterial SSU rRNA
Rfam family: Bacterial small subunit ribosomal RNA
Source: RNAcentral